RNAcentral lists this ribosomal RNA (422 nucleotides) under uncultured bacterium. Its description in RNAcentral is "partial 16S ribosomal RNA". It matches the Rfam family "Bacterial small subunit ribosomal RNA", at positions 360 to 774 of the family's 1533-position model. The record is from RNAcentral.
AAUCUUCCAAAAUGGACGAAAGUCUGAUGGAGCAACGCCGCGUGAGUGAAGAAGGAUAUAGGAACGUACAGCUCUGUUGUAAGAGAAAAACAAGUACAGGAGUAACUGUCUGUACCUUGACGGUACCUUACCAGAAAGCCACGGCUAACUACGUGCCAGCAGCCGCGGUAAUACGUAGGUGGCAAGCGUUGUCCGGAAUUAUUGGGCGUAAAGCGCGCGCAGGCGGUCCUUUAAGUCUGAUGUGAAAGCCCACGGCUCAACCGUGGAGGGUCAUUGGAAACUGGAGGACUUGAGUACAGAAGAGGAAAGCGGAAUUCCACGUGUAGCGGUGAAAUGCGUAGAGAUGUGGAGGAACACCAGUGGCGAAGGCGGCUUUCUGGUCUGUAACUGACGCUGAGGCGCGAAAGCGUGGGGAGCAAACA